This 1447-nucleotide ribosomal RNA is filed under the name Klebsiella pneumoniae. RNAcentral's name for it is "partial 23S ribosomal RNA". It matches the Rfam family "Bacterial large subunit ribosomal RNA", at positions 473 to 1933 of the family's 2925-position model. The record is from RNAcentral. Lineage: Bacteria; Pseudomonadati; Pseudomonadota; Gammaproteobacteria; Enterobacterales; Enterobacteriaceae.
CUACCUGAUGACCGAUAGUGAAGCAGUACCGUGAGGGAAAGGUGAAAAGAACCCCGGGAGGGGAGUGAAAUAGAACCUGAAACCGUGUGCCUACAACCGGUCAAAGCCCCUUAUGAGGGUGAUGACGUGCUUUUUGUAGAACGAGCCAACGAGUUACGGUAUGUAGCAAGGUUAAGUACUUAAGGUACGGAGCCGAAGGGAAACCGAGUCUUAAUAGGGCGACUAGUUGCAUGCCGUAGACCCGAAACCGGGUGACCUAUCCAUGGCCAGGUUGAAGCGGGGGUAAAACCCCGUGGAGGACCGAACCACGUUGCUGUUGAAAAAGCAUGGGAUGAGCUGUGGAUAGCGGAGAAAUUCCAAUCGAACUCGGAGAUAGCUGGUUCUCCUCGAAAUAGCUUUAGGGCUAGCGUCGGAUAUGAGUAGUGGAGGUAGAGCACUGAAUGGGCUAGGGGGCAUAGCGCUUACCGAACCUUAUCAAACUCCGAAUGCCACAUACUAUUAGUCCGGCAGUCAGACUGCGAAAGAUAAGUUCCGUAGUCAAAAGGGAAACAGCCCAGAUCGUCAGCUAAGGUCCCAAAGUGUAAGUUAAGUGGAAAAGGAUGUGGGAUUUCUAAGACAACUAGGAUGUUGGCUUAGAAGCAGCCACUCAUUAAAAGAGUGCGUAAUAGCUCACUAGUCGAGAGAUCCUGCGCCGAAGAUGUCCGGGGCUCAAACUUACCACCGAAGCUACGGGUUCACACUUAUGUGUGAGCGGUAGAGGAGCGUCGUAAUCGGGCUGAAGUCGUACCGUAAGGAGCGGUGGACUGAUUACGAGUGAGAAUGUUGGCAUUAGUAGCGAGAUGUGGGUGAGAAUCCCACAGGCCGAAUAUCUAAGGUUUCCUCAGGAAGGUUCGUCCGCUGAGGGUUAGUCGGGACCUAAGCCGAGGCCGAAAGGCGUAGGCGAUGGACAAUCGGUUGAUAUUCCGAUACCACUACUGAUCGUUAUUAUCGAUGGUGUGACGGAGAAGGAUAGAGUGUGCUAGCUAUUGGAUGCUAGUCUAAGCGUUUAGGGAGUUAGGAAAGGCAAAUCCGUCCUAACAAUUCUGAGGCGUGAUGGGGAAGGUUCUACGGAACCGAAGUACUUGAUUCCAUGCUUCCAAGAAAAGCAUCUAGAGAGAGAUGUAGUGCCCGUACCGCAAACCGACACAGGUAGAUGAGGAGAGAAUCCUAAGGCCGGCGGAAGAAUCACAGUUAAGGAACUAGGCAAAUUGACCCCGUAACUUAGGGAGAAGGGGUGCCUGUGAGAGCAGGCCGCAGAGAAUAGGCCCAAGCAACUGUUUAGCAAAAACACAGGUCUCUGCUAAAGCGAAAGCUGAUGUAUAGGGGCUGACGCCUGCCCGGUGCUGGAAGGUUAAGGGGAACACUUAGCGCAAGCGAAGGUGUGAACUUAAGCCCCAGUAAACGGCGG